This 470-nucleotide ribosomal RNA is filed under the name uncultured bacterium. Its description in RNAcentral is "bacterial LSU rRNA". It matches the Rfam family "Bacterial large subunit ribosomal RNA", at positions 274 to 729 of the family's 2925-position model. The record is from RNAcentral.
CCAGCUGAGUAUUCAGCUGGGGUUGUAGGGCUGGUUCGGUUUAGAGCCAAUGGAUUGCGUAUAGGUAGUUGAGCGGCAUGGAAAGGCCGGCCAAAGAGGGUGAGAGCCCCGUAAGCGAAACCUAGACGGACCAUAAUCAGUACCUGAGUACAGCGGGACACGGGAAACCCUGCUGGAAUCUGGGAGGACCAUCUUCCAAGCCUAAGUAUUACUUGGUGACCGAUAGUGAACCAGUACCGUGAGGGAAAGGUGAAAAGAACCCCGGCGAGGGGAGUGAAAAGAAUCUGAAACCGAAUGUUUACAAGCCGUGGAAGCACUAUGCCGCAAGGAAUGUGCGACCGCGUGCCUUUUGCAUAAUGAGCCUGCGAGUUGUGGUGACCGGCAAGGUUAAGCCGAUAGGUGAAGCCGAAGCGAAAGCGAGUCUGAUAAGGGGCGUCUAGUCGGUUGCUGCAGACCCGAAACCCUGUGAU